GAUGAACGCUGGCGGCGUGCUUAACACAUGCAAGUCGAACGAAGAUAUUUAGAAUGAGAGCUUCGGCAGGAUUUUUAUCUAUCUUAGUGGCGGACGGGUGAGUAACGUGUGGGCAACCUGCCCUGUACUGGGGAAUAAUCAUUGGAAACGAUGACUAAUACCGCAUGUGGUCCUCGGAAGGCAUCUUCUGAGGAAGAAAGGAUUUAUUCGGUACAGGAUGGGCCCGCAUCUGAUUAGCUAGUUGGUGAGAUAACAGCUCACCAAGGCGACGAUCAGUAGCCGACCUGAGAGGGUGAUCGGCCACAUUGGGACUGAGACACGGCCCAAACUCCUACGGGAGGCAGCAGUGGGGAAUAUUGCACAAUGGGCGAAAGCCUGAUGCAGCAACGCCGCGUGAAGGAUGAAGGGUUUCGACUCGUAAACUUCUAUCAAUAGGGAAGAAAGAAAUGACGGUAC
RNAcentral lists this ribosomal RNA (456 nucleotides) under uncultured bacterium. Its description in RNAcentral is "bacterial SSU rRNA". It matches the Rfam family "Bacterial small subunit ribosomal RNA", at positions 28 to 478 of the family's 1533-position model. The record is from RNAcentral.